CCUACGGGUGGCAGCAGUAGGGAAUGUUGCGCAAUGGGCGAAAGCCUGACGCAGCAACGCCGCGUGAAAGAGACGAACUUAGGGGUGGAAAGAUCUGGUAGUGGGGAAGAAACGUGACGGUACCCACAGAGGAAGAACCGGCUAACUCCGUGCCAGCAGCCGCGGUAAAACGUGGGGUGCAAGCGUUGUCCGGAAUGAUUGGGCGUAAAGAGGUCGUAGGCGGCACGGAAAGUCUGGUGUUAAAGGCAGAGGCUCAACUUCUGUACGGCACUUGAGACUUGCGAGCUAGAAUGCGGUAGAGGUAACGGGACUUCCUGGUGUAGCGGUUAACUGCUUAGCUAUCCGGAG
Molecule: ribosomal RNA, 348 nt
Filed under: uncultured bacterium
Lineage: Bacteria
Description: partial 16S ribosomal RNA
Rfam family: Bacterial small subunit ribosomal RNA
Source: RNAcentral